GUUAUGAAGCGGAAAAUACUUCAGAUAAUGCUUUUUUUUUUAAAUGUAUGAACAUAAAAAGAGAGGUUAGCAAUUGUCUCAUCAAAAAGCGUCCUUUGCUGUUGCUGUCUGGACCUUUGUCUGUUUGUCUCUUUAUGAUAUCAGACGCCUGCCAUCUGCUCCAUGUUAUUACGGGCAGCGGAUUUGGAUUUAAAGCAGCUCCGCUUCUGUUAUGCUGCUUAGCUAUACAGUCCCCGCUGUAACUUUAUAAACCCAGUACAACCAUGUGCAAUUUAAACUAGUGUAAGGACAACGUCACGUGUACGUUUUUGCUCGUCUUUGCAACGUUAUUCCUUCCUAAUCCCCAUAAUGUAUGCCGUCAAACGUGGUUGGUGACGUCAGCGUCCCAGCAGAGAGUUGGGUUUUUGUCCUCAGGAGCAAUAGAAGUAGGAGGAAGAGCAGGAUGCAUCUCACACUUUACCGGAUCGUUUGCCUCCAAAAUCGGUUCAGGGUUUGUGUCCAGGAUGUGAGAGUGUUCCUCGGACGUCAUUUGUUGGAGUCGCGGUGUUAAAGAUGAAAGCGGUGACUCUGGAUCCGAGACUGAUUGAGGUCAUGACCCGACAGGUCAAGCCACAACGGCAGCCGCAGCUCCUACUCAUGAAUUUGCAUCUGCUGGCCAACCCUGGAGACUCUCUGCUGCUGCAGCACACCCUCGAUCGCCUGCUGCGCUGGCUGUGCCCGAGUCUCUGCAUCUUCCAUGUGUCAGAGAGAGCAUCCCCGUUCGGCAGCUACACCCACCUGUGUCCUGUGGCAGGCUACCCUUCCGUGGCCAUCACGUUUUUCCUGCACGAGGCCUAUGGAGAGGAGAGAAUCCUCAAAGUGCUGGAUUUCUUUCAGAGACCUCCCUGGCAGUAUCAUCACACGGAGAGCUGCGGCAACAAAACAGGAGGGAUUCACAUUAGCUCCUGCGGCUCCCGUGCCAGUGCACUGCUGCGGCCCUACCUUCUGCCCAGCAGAGACUUCUAUAGUUUGGGUGCAGGGAUGCCAGUGUGGGGAGUCAGACCCGUGCACUGUGGAGGCGAAAUCCUACGUGUGACACUGUACAGCGGUUAUGAGAACUACGAGGACGCUGUGCGUCUAUAUGAGACAGUGCUGCAGCGACAGGCAGAGGAACAGAAGUCAGGUUUCUGCUGGUUCACCCUCCACACAGAGCCGGGCCUCUGCCUGCAGCUGGCGUUGAAGCAGUUGUCACCAGGGGUCCGGGUGGAGCCGUGCAGCUCGGCUGUGCUGCAGUUCAGUGUGGAUGAAAUUGGCCAGCUGGUGCCACUGCUGCCAAACCCCUGCACACCUAUCAGCAGCACACGCUGGCAGACGGAAGACCUGGACGGCAACAAAGUUCUUUUUCAAGUGAAAACCCCUUCUCAACCUCAGCGACCUCUGACCUGUGCUUUCCCUCUAACCUGCCCCAACGUAUCUCCUCGAGGUAUGCAGCUAAGGAGCUCCAGUCAGGGUCAGAACCUGUCGCCCUGCGGCUUCACCCCUGCCCUGUCCUGGCAAUCACAACGACCAGGGCACAGACCUCACAGUGAUCCCGUCCUGGAGAAGCUUCAUGGUGGAGUUGAGAGCCUUGGAUCAGGAAGCUGCUGCAGCACUCCUCCGGGGAGCUCCUGCUACUCCUCCCAGCACAGCAGCCCUGCUCCACCACUGUCCACCAAACAGCCUGACUCCCCUCUGCGCCCUUCCAUCACCCGUUCCCUCUCUCAUCUCCUGCUGGAAGAAGAGGAAGAGCCAGAGACCAAUGUAGACACAGGAGUUCCCGUCUCGCUUCGCUGCAAAGCGGGAGUCAAAACAAUCACUCGCUCUUCAUCCACAGACAUUUUGAUGACGUCCCACUUAGAGAGGCCGGCAGCUGUCGGCGAGUCGGCUGUUGAGAACAUGGCAAAGGAGUUGAGUGAGUGUCUACAGCAGACACACAAACAUCCACAGUACCCCUCCAGGAUGUGGAGCUCUGGUUGUUACACCGAUGCAGUCAGGGAGAACUGUGGGGGCAGGGUCACAGCAGCAGGACAGAGCCCAUGUCGUGGGCUGCUGCUCGAGGCCAGGACUAGUACUGAUCUGCUGGUGUCAUUCUCAAACAACCAGGAGCCGGAAGACGAGUUCUUCAUCUGAGUCAAUACCUCUGUGCUGUCCGCAGAUGCCACCUCCUCACAGAGCAGGAGAUGCACAACAGUGAGCCUUUUCCUACAUCUUUAAUGUUGCAGUAAUGGAGGGGAUUUGGCCAACGACGUGUUAAUUACCGCAAAGGCCACAGUGAUCAGAGGGAUCAGCACGGAGCCCAUCUUAGUGAAAACCCUACACUGAAUCCUGGACAUCGCCAACAACAGAUGGCAGCAAAACCCACGCCAAUAUGCACAGUGCAAUUAGUCACUCUCUAAAGGGACAGUAAGGGAUGAGAACUUUAAUCUACCAAGACGAUAGCGAUUGAAAAACCCUAGGUCAGUUUUCACUGGGAUUUCAUCCGUUGUUCCUUUUUGUUCCCUCUCUUGUUCCUCGCUGUACAUGAGACAGAGAGAAGGACAUUAAUACUUCUCCCAGGUAUUCACUUUGAAAAGUU
This is an RNA transcript of Cynoglossus semilaevis (tongue sole), 2593 nucleotides long. It is a transcript of the gene named family with sequence similarity 124B, with no coding region annotated. The transcript has 7 exons. The record is from RefSeq and is a predicted model, not a curated record. Lineage: Eukaryota; Metazoa; Chordata; Actinopteri; Pleuronectiformes; Cynoglossidae.